RNAcentral lists this transfer RNA (74 nucleotides) under Galerina marginata CBS 339.88. RNAcentral's name for it is "tRNA-Asn (GTT) (tRNA-Asn-GTT-1-1)". It matches the Rfam family "tRNA". From Rfam's summary of the family: Transfer RNA (tRNA) molecules are approximately 80 nucleotides in length. Their secondary structure includes four short double-helical elements and three loops (D, anti-codon, and T loops). The record is from RNAcentral. Lineage: Eukaryota; Fungi; Basidiomycota; Agaricomycetes; Agaricales; Galerinaceae.
UGCCCCAUGGCUGAGUUGGUUACAGCGUCCGACUGUUAAUCGGAAGGUCAUGAGUUCGAGCCUCAUUGGGGCAG